GACUUCUGGUUUAAUGCACCUGGCCCGCGGUCGCAAGAUUCGUGAGUGCCGGCGCGCGUUUACCAUCCUUCUAGGGAACGAGCCUUCCGUUUACUCGGCCGGGCUCGGGAUCUAGAUCAUUUACUUUGAAAAAAUUAGAGUGUUUAAAGCAGGCUUUUUGCUAUGAAUACAUUAGCAUGGAAUAAUAAUUUAGGACUUUGGCCCUAUUUUGUUGGUUUCUAGGACUGAAGUAAUGAUUGAUAGGGAUAGUUGGGGGUGCUCGAAUUCAGCGGCCAGAGGUGAAAUUCUUGGAUUCGCUGAAGACGAACUCAUGCGAAAGCAUU
RNAcentral lists this ribosomal RNA (323 nucleotides) under Kraken sp. RNAcentral's name for it is "SSU rRNA". The stretch from base 105 to 323 matches the Rfam family "Eukaryotic small subunit ribosomal RNA", at positions 736 to 955 of the family's 1831-position model. The record is from RNAcentral. Lineage: Eukaryota; Cercozoa.